CUAUGCCCCAAUCCAGGAAGGCAGCAGGCGCGUAAAUUGCCCGAAUCCUGACACAGGGAGGUAGUGACAAGAAAUAACAAUACAGGGCUACUUCUAGUCUUGUAAUUGGAAUGAGUACAACUUACAUCUCUUCACGAGGAUCAAUUGGAGGGCAAGUCUGGUGCCAGCAGCCGCGGUAAUUCCAGCUCCAAUAGCGUAUAUUAAAGUUGUUGCAGUUAAAAAGCUCGUAGUCGGAUUUCGGGUCGGGCCGAGCGGUCUGCCGAUGGGUAUGCACUGUUUGGCGCGGCCUUCUUUCCGGAGACCGCGGCUACUCUUAACUGAGCGGGCGUGGGAGACGGAUCGUUUACUUUGAAAAAAUCAGAGUGUUUCAAGCAGGCAGCUCGCUCUUGCAUGGAUUAGCAUGGGAUAAUUGAAUAGGACUCUGGUGCUAUUUUGUUGGUUUCGAACACCGGAGUAAUGAUUAACAGGGACAGUCAGGGGCACUCGUAUUCCGUCGAGAGAGGUGAAAUUCUCAGACCAAUGGAAGACGAACCACUGCGAAAGCAUUUGCCAGGGAUGUUUUCACUGAUCAAGAACGAAAGUUAGGGGAUCGAAGACGAUCAGAUACCGUCGUAGUCUUAACCAUAAACCAUGCCGACUAGGGAUUGGAGGGUGUUCGUUUCGACCUCUUCAGCACCUUACGGGAAACUAAAGUCUUUGGGUUCCGGGGGGAGUAUGGUCGCAAGGCUGAAACUUAAAGGAAUUGACGGAAGGGCACCACCAGGAGUGGAGCCUGCGGCUUAAUUUGACUCAACACGGGGAAACUUACCAGGUCCAGACAUUGUUAGGAUUGACAGAUUGAGAGCUCUUUCUUGAUUCGAUGGGUGGUGGUGCAUGGCCGUUCUUAGUUGGUGGAGUGAUUUGUCUGGUUAAUUCCGUUAACGAACGAGACCGUAGCCUGCUAAAUAGUUCCGCGAACUUCUUGUUGGCGGUCGACUUCUUAGAGGGACAACUUGUGACCAACAAGUGGAAGUUUGCGGCAAUAACAGGUUGUUUGUGGAUGCCCCCAA
Molecule: ribosomal RNA, 1049 nt
Filed under: Haptophyta environmental samples
Lineage: Eukaryota; Haptophyta
Description: SSU rRNA
Rfam family: Eukaryotic small subunit ribosomal RNA
Source: RNAcentral